RNAcentral lists this ribosomal RNA (710 nucleotides) under Pectobacterium sp. 11B. RNAcentral describes it as "bacterial SSU rRNA". It matches the Rfam family "Bacterial small subunit ribosomal RNA", at positions 383 to 1085 of the family's 1533-position model. Lineage: Bacteria; Pseudomonadati; Pseudomonadota; Gammaproteobacteria; Enterobacterales; Pectobacteriaceae. The record is from RNAcentral.
CUGAUGCAGCCAUGCCGCGUGUGUGAAGAAGGCCUUCGGGUUGUAAAGCACUUUCAGCGAGGAGGAAAGGUUAGUAGUUAAUACCUGCUAGCUGUGACGUUACUCGCAGAAGAAGCACCGGCUAACUCCGUGCCAGCAGCCGCGGUAAUACGGAGGGUGCGAGCGUUAAUCGGAAUUACUGGGCGUAAAGCGUGCGCAGGCGGUUUGUUAAGCGAGAUGUGAAAGCCCCGGGCUCAACCUGGGAACCGCAUUUCGAACUGGCAAACUAGAGUCUUGUAGAGGGGGGUAGAAUUCCAGGUGUAGCGGUGAAAUGCGUAGAGAUCUGGAGGAAUACCGGUGGCGAAGGCGGCCCCCUGGACAAAGACUGACGCUCAGGCACGAAAGCGUGGGGAGCAAACAGGAUUAGAUACCCUGGUAGUCCACGCCGUAAACGAUGUCUACUCGGAGUUUGGUGUCUUGAACACUGGGCUCUCAAGCUAACGCAUUAAGUAGACCGCCUGGGGAGUACGGCCGCAAGGUUAAAACUCAAAUGAAUUGACGGGGGCCCGCACAAGCGGUGGAGCAUGUGGUUUAAUUCGAUGCAACGCGAAGAACCUUACCUACUCUUGACAUCCAGAGAACUUUCCAGAGAUGGAUUGGUGCCUUCGGGAACUCUGAGACAGGUGCUGCAUGGCUGUCGUCAGCUCGUGUUGUGAAAUGUUGGGUUAAGU